UGGGGAAUAUUGCACAAUGGGCGAAAGCCUGAUGCAGCAACGCCGCGUGAGUGAUGACGGUCUUCGGAUUGUAAAGCUCUGUCUUUGGGGACGAUAAUGACGGUACCCAAGGAGGAAGCCACGGCUAACUACGUGCCAGCAGCCGCGGUAAUACGUAGGUGGCAAGCGUUGUCCGGAUUUACUGGGCGUAAAGGGUGCGUAGGCGGACCUUUAAGUGAGAUGUGAAAUCCCCGAGCUUAACUUGGGGGCUGCAUUUCAAACUGGAGGUCUAGAGUGCAGGAGAGGAGAGUGGAAUUCCUAGUGUAGCGGUGAAAUGCGUAGAGAUUAGGAAGAACACCAGUGGCGAAGGCGACUCUCUGGACUGUAACUGACGCUGAGGUGCGAAAGCGUGGGGAGUAAACAG
This 403-nucleotide ribosomal RNA is filed under the name uncultured bacterium. RNAcentral describes it as "bacterial SSU rRNA". It matches the Rfam family "Bacterial small subunit ribosomal RNA", at positions 355 to 775 of the family's 1533-position model. The record is from RNAcentral.